RNAcentral lists this ribosomal RNA (476 nucleotides) under uncultured bacterium. RNAcentral's name for it is "partial 16S ribosomal RNA". It matches the Rfam family "Bacterial small subunit ribosomal RNA", at positions 30 to 507 of the family's 1533-position model. The record is from RNAcentral.
UUGCACGCUGGCGGCAUGCCUUACCCAUGCCAGUCGCACGGUAACAGGUUAAGCUGACGAGUGGCGAACGGGUGAGUAAUACAUCGGAACGUGCCCAGUAGUGGGGGAUAGCCCGGCGAAAGCCGGAUUAAUACCGCAUACGACCUAAGGGUGAAAGGGGGGGAUCGCAAGACCUCUCGCUAUUGGAGCGGCCGAUGUCAGAUUAGCUAGUUGGUGGGGUAAAAGCUCACCAAGGCGACGAUCUGUAGCUGGUCUGAGAGGACGACCAGCCACACUGGGACUGAGACACGGCCCAGACUCCUACGGGAGGCAGCAGUGGGGAAUUUUGGACAAUGGGCGCAAGCCUGAUCCAGCCAUGCCGCGUGCGGGAAGAAGGCCUUCGGGUUGUAAACCGCUUUUGUCAGGGAAGAAAUCCUUUGGGUUAAUACCUCGGGGGGAUGACGGUACCUGAAGAAUAAGCACCGGCUAACUACGUG